UCCUUGGUGGUCUAGAGGUUAGGAUUCAGAGCUUUCAUCACUGUGGCCCAGGUUCAAUACCUGGUUUGGGAA
Sus scrofa (pig) is the source of this 72-nucleotide non-coding RNA. Lineage: Eukaryota; Metazoa; Chordata; Mammalia; Artiodactyla; Suidae. The record is from Rfam.